RNAcentral lists this non-coding RNA (217 nucleotides) under unclassified sequences. Its description in RNAcentral is "IS605-orfB-I RNA". It matches the Rfam family "IS605-orfB-I RNA". The record is from Rfam by way of RNAcentral.
GUCCUAUACAGAUGUAUUCAACGCUAGUCAGUUGGGCAUCUCCCUUUAGGAUGAAGUUUAUUAGAAGCUCUGGCAACAAUUUUCAUUGUGUGGCUCUACGGUCGAAAUGAGAUGAGUCAGAGUGGAAUAGGUUAACUGUAAGACCUUGAGUUGAAAAACUCUAAAAUUGAGCUAGAGAUGUGGAUUCCUAAUUUUCUCAUUUUCUAGUUACGGUGUG